GAUGAACGCUGGCGGCGUGCUUAACACAUGCAAGUCGAACGGAAAGGCUCCUGCUUGCAGGGGUACUCGAGUGGCGAACGGGUGAGUAACACGUGGGUGAUCUGCCCUGCACUUCGGGAUAAGCCUUGGAAACUGGGUCUAAUACCGGAGAGGACCACAUUUUGGACGGUGUUGUGGAAAGUUUGUCGGUGUUGGAUGAGCUCGCGGCCUAUCAGCUUGUUGGUGGGGUAAUGGCCUACGAAGGCGUCGACGGGUAGCCGGCCUGAGAGGGUGUACGGCCACAUUGGGACUGAGAUACGGCCCAGACUCCUACGGGCGGCAGCAGUGGGGAAUAUUGCACAAUGGGCGCAAGCCUGAUGCAGCGACGCCGCGUGGGGGAUGACGGCCUUCGGGUUGUAAACUCCUUUCGCUAGGGACGAAGCGCAAGUGACGGUACCUGGAGAAGAAGCACCGGCUAACUACGUG
Molecule: ribosomal RNA, 465 nt
Filed under: uncultured bacterium
Lineage: Bacteria
Description: partial 16S ribosomal RNA
Rfam family: Bacterial small subunit ribosomal RNA
Source: RNAcentral